GGACACAUUUGCCCAUGAUCAUCUCCGUCAUUAAACAAAUGCUGACGACUAAGAUUAAAACAAUUCGGUUUAUUCUCAGAAUAGCUACAUCAGUUCGGUAUGCAGGGCGUGAAUGGCAAACACUUGUCCUGAAACAUUGUGCCUGCGAAAAUGCAUAGCUAUACAUUAGUUCAGAAUCGUGCGUUACAUGAUUGGUGUAAAAUGUUGUAAACAUGACCUUUUAGAUUAGAAUAACCAUUCCAUUUAUAGCAUACAGUUUCCAGUGGCCCAGACAUUAUUUUCACUCGAAUAGUAUUUCAACCUCCACAUAGAGGCGAUAUUCCGCGUUUGAGGAUGUUGGACGACACGCACAGAAGAAGAACCUACUGUCUUUAGCGACAACCUUGGCGGCGCCCGCAAUGUUGACUUUACAGUCAUUAAUUCAUUUUAAAAAAUGACUUGUGUUUAGAAGCGACCAUAUCGUUAAUACUAAGACCGAAUUUCAAUAACCUGCAUGGAUCUGUGCUAAACUACUUCAAUAAGUGUAUAAUGUUAUUUGAAGGAUUAUUUCUCGCUGACGAAAGGUGAGGUCCAUAAGGUUUCGAAAGCCGCGUCGCAAGCGAUAGCUUGUGGGCGAAGGUAAUGGCUGGGACUGUAGGGAGAAGGCAGAAUGCCGCCCAGGGGUUUCGAGAGCUAGCUAUUAUCAUAUGUCAAACAUUGACGUCAAGCUGGGUUUUGGCUAACUGUUUUUGGGGCAUGGAAUUAGACCUACAUUUGAGUGCGAAUAGUUUCCUAAUUAAAGUUUACCCCAGACCUGCUUCCCUAUUCAGGAGACAGUAUGAGAACAACAUCUUAACAGGAGCCAAGUUUCCUGACCCAGGCUGUUAUGGCCACACCCAGUUCCACCUGGUCCCUGAUAGGUAUCGCAGGGACAAAAUGGCUUAACUGAAUCUGACUGACCAGAUUGAGUUCUACCUGAGAGCUCAUGGCAUUGCCAGUCUAUUCACAAGCCUUGUAUCAUGGUUUCUGGAACCAUGAGGAUGUGGCCAGGUCCUUUGUGUCCCACUAUUGGCCAGUACUUCUCUUUCUUCUGUUACCAGCUCAACUCCCUGGCCCUGUCCAUGAGACGGAUGCUGUGAACCCGAGGAAGAACUUGUGCUGGGGGACAGACAGUAUUCAUCUGUAUGAAAUGAAGCAUGGUGUUGUGGUUGGGCUGGAUUACAGGGUCCUCAAGCUCCUGGUCUGGUUCCUACUGGGCAGGUCAGGUGGACAUGGAGAGAUGGUGUAUGCAGGGUGAAAUAAGUGUUUUUGUUGAAUUGUUUCCAUUUGGAUUCAACAGUGGCAAAUGUCAAUUCAUGUACACUGACCAUGUGCAGUGUAUAUGUAUGUACGGUGUGUGUAUCUCUGGUAUGAUCUGGCAGAAUGUAUUCAUGUGGAAAGUAAAAACAGUUGCAUACAGGGUUGAUUGGUGUCCACAACACUAAGGACCUAUCAUGGUUCAAACACACCAACAUAGUUGUGAAGUGGCCACAACAAUGCCUCUUCCCCCUCAGGAGGCUGAAAAGAUUUGGCAUGGGCCCCUCAGUUAUUCAAAAAGUUAUACAGUGGCACCAUUGUGAGCAUCUUGACUGGCUGCAUCACGUUUUGGUAUGGCAACUGCUCGGCAUCUAACCGCAAGGCACUGUGGAGGGUAGUGCGUGCCUACGGCCCAGUACAUCACGGGUUGAGCUCCCUGCCAUCCAGGACCUCCAUACCAGGCUGUUUCAAUGGGGAAAGAUUGGCUCGUACCCCGCUUCAGUGAUUGUUGAAAACCCUGCUUCCGGUGUUCUGCUGUUUGUCACUAGGUGUCGCUUAGUCAAUGUGGACAAACGUCACAACCACAGAUGGAACAAGGAGACUGAUGUUUCACCGGAUGUAUAAAUCUGAAGGAUCCGGUUGGAAUUUCCACCCCUCACCAAAUAUGGUGAGGAGAGGAAGCCCAGUGGGAGAGUAUGGAGCGAGAUGGAACUGGGCUGGCGUUCUGCUGAUUUUUCUCAUAGAAGAAGAAAAGCUCGAUUUCAAUUAGUUAUCUUUUCCCAAAACUAGAAUCUGUUACAGAGUGCAAUAAGUUUUGUAAAUGUGACCCUUUGCCAAAGUUCCCUAACGGAAAUAUGCAAAUAAAUGCCAGAACGCGCAAAUAGGA
This is a long non-coding RNA of Oncorhynchus keta (chum salmon), 2161 nucleotides long. RefSeq lists it as uncharacterized. The transcript has 3 exons. The record is from RefSeq and is a predicted model, not a curated record. Lineage: Eukaryota; Metazoa; Chordata; Actinopteri; Salmoniformes; Salmonidae.